UUAGGGAAUCUUCGGCAAUGGACGGAAGUCUGACCGAGCAACGCCGCGUGAGUGAAGAAGGUUUUCGGAUCGUAAAGCUCUGUUGUAAGAGAAGAACGAGUGUGAGAGUGGAAAGUUCACACUGUGACGGUAUCUUACCAGAAAGGGACGGCUAACUACGUGCCAGCAGCCGCGGUAAUACGUAGGUCCCGAGCGUUGUCCGGAUUUAUUGGGCGUAAAGCGAGCGCAGGCGGUUAGAUAAGUCUGAAGUUAAAGGCUGUGGCUUAACCAUAGUACGCUUUGGAAACUGUUUAACUUGAGUGCAAGAGGGGAGAGUGGAAUUCCAUGUGUAGCGGUGAAAUGCGUAGAUAUAUGGAGGAACACCGGUGGCGAAAGCGGCUCUCUGGCUUGUAACUGACGCUGAGGCUCGAAAGCGUGGGGAGCAAACAGGAUUAGAUACCCUGGUAGUCCACGCCGUAAACGAUGAGUGCUAGGUGUUAGACCCUUUCCGGGGUUUUAGUGCCGUAGCUAACGCAUUAAGCACUCCGCCUGGGGAGUACGACCGCAAGGUUG
RNAcentral lists this ribosomal RNA (552 nucleotides) under uncultured bacterium. Its description in RNAcentral is "bacterial SSU rRNA". It matches the Rfam family "Bacterial small subunit ribosomal RNA", at positions 354 to 896 of the family's 1533-position model. The record is from RNAcentral.